AGUUGCUCCCUGGGAAAUUAUGCUCAAGCACGCCUCAUUAUAUAUAGAGUGAUACAGGUUACUGGUUAUCACCAUAAACUGCCACCCUUCUUCCUUCAUUACAUUAAAACAUACUGAUCCCGAAUUCUUUUAUCCUCAAGCAGAUUGGUCUGGGAGCUGGAAUCACUUUGUCUAUGAUCCUGUUCUUUGGGUUUGGAGCAUUUACUAGUUUAUUUACCACAGAUUCAGAAGUUCUGGAUGUUGCUCGGUCAGGUCUAUUGUUUGUUGCUGGAUCUCAACCAGUGAACGCUUUGGCAUUUGUUAUUGAUGGGAUUUAUUAUGGGGUAUCAGACUUUGAAUAUGCCGCUUACUCGAUGGUAAUUAUCUAGUGCAGUAAUUAAAAGAUUCUUAACUCAUUUCCUUUUGUCCUCCCCGGCCUGCACCAUCCCUCUUUGUCCUUUGUUCAUGGCUUCUGUUAAGGUUAGGUGCUAGCUGGACUAUUUUCUUCAAUUUUUCUGCUGCUGGUUGGUCCAAUAUUUGGACUUCCUGGAGUUUGGGCAGGACUGUUUAUCUUCAUGACUUUGCGUGUUCUAGCUGGAGUUUCAAGGUUGAGCAGCAAACGCGGUCCAUGGAAUGUGAUCUGGUAUAAAGAUGGACCACAAGAUUGACUAACAUGCAUUUAAGACCACCCAUUUAGAAUGCAGAUGCUCCAACUUUCACUGAUCA
This is a long non-coding RNA of Lotus japonicus, 705 nucleotides long. RefSeq lists it as uncharacterized. The transcript has 3 exons. Lineage: Eukaryota; Viridiplantae; Streptophyta; Magnoliopsida; Fabales; Fabaceae. The record is from RefSeq and is a predicted model, not a curated record.